Molecule: ribosomal RNA, 305 nt
Filed under: Paenibacillus sp. 7884-2
Lineage: Bacteria; Bacillati; Bacillota; Bacilli; Caryophanales; Paenibacillaceae
Description: bacterial LSU rRNA
Rfam family: Bacterial large subunit ribosomal RNA
Source: RNAcentral
GGACCUAAGCCGAGGCCGAAAGGCGUAGGCGAUGGACAACAGGUAGAUAUUCCUGUACCACCUCAUGAUUGUUUGAGCGAUGGGGGGACGCAGUAGGAUAAGGAAUGCGCACUGAUGGAUAUGUGCGCCCAAGCAGUGAGAAAGUCAGAUAGGCAAAUCCGUCUGGCAAUUUCAAGCUGUGAUGGGGAGGGAAAUUUAGUACCGAAGUUCCGGAUUUCACACUGCCAAGAAAAGCCUCUAGUUAGAUCAUAGGUGCCCGUACCGCAAACCGACACAGGUAGGCGAGGAGAGAAUCCUAAGGUGAG